RNAcentral lists this long non-coding RNA (552 nucleotides) under Carassius auratus (goldfish). RNAcentral describes it as "lncRNA (ENSCARG00000009420.1)". The record is from RNAcentral. Lineage: Eukaryota; Metazoa; Chordata; Actinopteri; Cypriniformes; Cyprinidae.
UUAUACUCCAGAGACAGUUACCUUGUGCAUGUGUGUAGGGUUCUAGUUCAGGUGGUGAAGUUACUUUACCCGGUUUGGUACCCUUGGUGACGCGACCGGCUCCUUUAAGAGGUGCAGGAAUGCAUUCACUCGUACCUGAUCAGCAAGACGACACACAUGAUACCAGCAGAUAUAGGAAGCAGAAAGCGGUUGUCUCUCUCUUGCGUGGAGUUCAGAGUGACUUCAACUUCAGGCAGAUCAGAGGAUCUUCCAGCCACUACAUGACAGCGCUACAGCAGACCGGAUACAGAGUUCUCUCCACUUUCCCUAACACUGAUCCUGACACCAGGUACAAGUGUCACAGUGUACCCAGACCUCCUCCUCCUCCUCCUCCUCUGUAACAAAAAGUCAUAGACGCACUAUGUGUGUCAUGAAUUUCAGCUUUGGCCUUGUGUGUUGUUGUUCAUCUUUGGAGCUUAGAUCGAACUUAAACUGACAAUUUAUUUAUCUGGAAUUGUGUCAAUAUAAAAAGACAUUAAAUGUAUAUUUUCUAUUCAAGACUUUGAGUGGUGU